Setaria italica (foxtail millet) is the source of this 870-nucleotide long non-coding RNA. RefSeq lists it as uncharacterized. The transcript has 2 exons. Lineage: Eukaryota; Viridiplantae; Streptophyta; Magnoliopsida; Poales; Poaceae. The record is from RefSeq and is a predicted model, not a curated record.
GUCUGUGUUGUGCUUUGCUGUCAUUUCGUAUCCGUCUUCCAUUUUCUCAAUCCCAGUUAGUGAGGGCGACGAGGGAGGCGAAGAGGUUGGCAAAUCGGCGGACCCGUCCGUACCUCGGGGGGAGGUGACUUGGCCAGCGAUGGAGCAGAUGUCACCCGUAUCAAGGAGGAGAUGGAGACGGCGGCGUGUAUCCACAGAGGGGCGGAGACAGCGGCGGAUCGGCGACCUUGUCCCGCAUCGAUCAGGAUCGGGUUGAGAUCAAGGUGCCAAAGCAUCUCUCUAAAAUCUGCUUGCUAUGGCUCAUGAGGAAUUAUUAGUCUUCACUGGCAAGUAGAUGUGUUCAUGCUUGAACAAGUUUGAGUUUUCUGUUUUCCUGAAAGCAUCCUAAGUGGCAUUAUUCCGUAUACAUUUUUUAUCAUCCUUUUCAGUACUCCUUAUGCUAACUUGGAAAAGUUUUAUCACGCGUUAAUAUAAAUUGCAGGUGGUUUAAUUUUAGUGCUAAAUGUAUGCAACUACCAUAUUAUGUAAGAUUUUUUUUAUCCCCUUAUGCUAGUUGCUUUUAAACCUUGCAUUCCCAUUAUGUCCUCUUCUUGUUGUUUCUCAAACAGAAAAGGAAGCUUAGAUCUGCCUGUUCACAAGAUUGAGCUUUGUGAAGGUUCACCAAAUUAAGCUUUUGUAUCAUUAAAAUUUGAUUUUGAACGGUCCACAAAAUAACACUUUGCAAUCUUUUACUUUGUCAUUUGAAGGGUUCAUCAAUUUGUUUUUUAUUUCUAUUUAUCUUACUAGGAAAUUGAUUCUGGUAGUUGUGGUUAGGGACAUGAUUGUAUAUCUCUCUACUUACAAUGAAUAGAUGUCAUCGGAACAGAACAA